UUUUGCACCGGGUAUGUAAUGGGUACUGCUGAUUAUUUGUAAUGCAAGUGUAAUGUAAUGAUUCAGAUUUGAAAAAGCCUUCUUUUCAUUUGUUUUCCCAGGGAAAAACUUUGUUCUGCACAGAAAAAAUGAGUGAACCUGGCAAAAAGGACGGGAAGGGAAAGAAGCCAGAGGCAACGGAAGGACACUUAACAUCUGAAUCAGAUGGAGUUAAAGGGAAAAAAGAAGCAAAAGGACAAGAAAUGAAAGACAAACCUGUUGGUUGUGGAGGUCGUGGUGGUGGUAGCGGAGGUGGUGGUGGUGGUGGCGGAGGUCGCGGUGGAGGUCGGGGUGAUCAAUAAAUGAUGAAGAAAUCCUUGACUCGCCAUUCUGUGAUAAUAAUUGUAAAGACUUAAAUACAUGUAUAAUAAACAAAUCCAGAAAAAGACAAGA
Molecule: long non-coding RNA, 432 nt
Organism: Micropterus salmoides (largemouth bass)
Lineage: Eukaryota; Metazoa; Chordata; Actinopteri; Centrarchiformes; Centrarchidae
Exons: 4
Source: RefSeq, a predicted model, not a curated record